This 253-nucleotide ribosomal RNA is filed under the name Baekduia sp. RNAcentral's name for it is "partial 16S ribosomal RNA". It matches the Rfam family "Bacterial small subunit ribosomal RNA", at positions 524 to 776 of the family's 1533-position model. RNAcentral also lists the same sequence under 2 other names. Lineage: Bacteria; Bacillati; Actinomycetota; Thermoleophilia; Solirubrobacterales; Baekduiaceae. The record is from RNAcentral.
UACGUAGGGGGCAAGCGUUGUCCGGAAUCAUUGGGCGUAAAGAGCGUGUAGGCGGUCCGAUAAGUCCGCUCUGAAAGCCCGGGGCUCAACCCCGGGAGGCGGGCGGAUACUGUCGGGCUAGAGUCCGGAAGAGGCAAGUGGAAUUCCUGGUGUAGCGGUGAAAUGCGCAGAUAUCAGGAGGAACACCGAUGGCGAAGGCAGCUUGCUGGGACGGUACUGACGCUGAGACGCGAAAGCGUGGGGAGCAAACAGG